UGAAGAUGUCCAACCCUGUGAAAUACUAAAGAGAUGACAUGACUUGAGUUACAGUUUUGUGGUACCCUUGCAAAACUCUUUAUUUGCAGGAAAAUGAGACGUGCUGCUGUGAGACUGCAGUGGCUGAUGGAAUCACUGCUGGGAAUCUGCAGCGCAAGGGCCGCGAUGACGAUGGCCGUCCGCCAGCAGGAGACUGCAGGGGAUCUGGCUGGCAGAGUCGGCUGUAAUCGCUGCUGAUGGGCCCUUAUUAGGCACGCUUGUCUGAGGACGUCACCCAGGAGCCCGUGUGUGGAAGGGGACGGGGACACAUCUGCUGAUUCGAACCACAAUCAUCUCACAUGACUGCAGGCCAGCGGCGAACGCCAAACGCGCUGCUCAGGUAGAUGAUUAGCGAGGAUAUUAUGGGUUUGGAGUUUACAGGUUCUGCUUUAUUUCAUUAGUUUGACAUUAGAGUUUACUUUUGAAUCUGUUAUUGUAAGUUGUAAAUAUUGUAAGUAUCUUUGUUUAAUGAGAAAUACUUUAAUAUUGUUACAUUUAAUUUUCAUCUUUUUCAGGUUGAAUAACGGUAGAUUGUACAGGUGUCACAUGUCAUUUUAUACCAUAUAUCAA
Labeo rohita (rohu) is the source of this 609-nucleotide long non-coding RNA. RefSeq lists it as uncharacterized. The transcript has 3 exons. NCBI's taxonomy places the organism in Eukaryota, Metazoa, Chordata, Actinopteri, Cypriniformes, Cyprinidae. The record is from RefSeq and is a predicted model, not a curated record.